UCCGGUUUGUCACCGGCAGUCUCGCUAAAGUGCCCAACUCAAUGCUGGCAAUUAGCGACAAGGGUUGCGCUCGUUGCGGGACUUAACCCAACAUCUCACGACACGAGCUGACGACAGCCAUGCAGCACCUGUGUCCUGGCUCCCGAAGGCACUCCCUGAUCUCUCAAGGAUUCCAGGCAUGUCAAGGGUAGGUAAGGUUUUUCGCGUUGCAUCGAAUUAAUCCACAUCAUCCACCGCUUGUGCGGGUCCCCGUCAAUUCCUUUGAGUUUUAACCUUGCGGCCGUACUCCCCAGGCGGUCAACUUCACGCGUUAGCUGCGUUACUCACAGAGUUACCUCUACGAACAACUAGUUGACAUCGUUUAGGGCGUGGACUAC
RNAcentral lists this unclassified non-coding RNA (377 nucleotides) under uncultured Gammaproteobacteria bacterium. RNAcentral describes it as "contains 16S-23S intergenic spacer region". Lineage: Bacteria; Pseudomonadati; Pseudomonadota; Gammaproteobacteria. The record is from RNAcentral.